Molecule: long non-coding RNA, 796 nt
Filed under: Phoenix dactylifera (date palm)
Lineage: Eukaryota; Viridiplantae; Streptophyta; Magnoliopsida; Arecales; Arecaceae
Description: long non-coding RNA (PDAC_LNC016438)
Source: RNAcentral
GACGUUGGCUCCUAGGGACAUUCGAGCUCAAUAGGACGAAGAUCAUCGAAAGUUGCACCAAUUUCACUCUGUGGCUUAGUUGAUGUCUAGGCAAGCUUUGUCCCUAUAAGGGAGACAGUUCAUCUGUUCGAGGCAAGUGGAUUUUAAGUGGGACCUUUGCGAAUGCAUCGUGACCCCUCCACUUACCUGGGAGCUUAUGAUAAGUGCUAAAUAAUGUAUAAAUUAAUCUAUUUUUCAUGGCACUUAUGAUUAUUUUUAUACACAUAUUUUUAGAUUUAAACAUAAGAAAAUGUGUUCCCCUUCAUUACGGCAUUAUUAAAAAUAAUUCGAGUUUGCUUAAUUUUAUUGGUCGAGUCUCAUGUGUGCAGGUCGUGUUUGCAGCUGAACCCAUGUCCACGUCACCCUUUAAGUACUUAGAGAUCAAGCUUCCACUCUCCCUCUCAUGUCCAAAGAAUAGAACAAACAUCUCCCCCGCUCAAAUAAUCCCAACCGAAUCCACAUGUUAAUUCCCCUGCUUUACAUCUCGUGUAUGCUCUUCCCUUCCGCAUCUUUCUCGUCUUCCACUUCUUCCACGCAUCGGGCUCAUCACAUCCACCCAACCGUGAUCUUCUCCCGUUCGGAUCAGCACCCCAUUUCUUCCGAACGCCCACGGAAAAGCUCCAGUCCCAGUAAAUCUCAGCAUCCCAACCUCUUGCCCGAUCAAUUACAUCCUUAUCCCGCUGCCAACCACUUCAAGCUUCUUCCCGUUCAUCAUCCACGAGCAAGCUCAGCCCCAGCUCAUCUCCCCUCCUCUUCA